CUACCUUUCAUCUCUGGGACAGCUGUAGCUACCAGCAUCUGUUACCCUUUGCAAAUGAGAAAAAGGAUGUUACAGCUGGAUGCUCCUUUUCAGCUCACAUUGUGAUUCCGUCUUGUUUUGAUGUGGCAGAUGUGAACAAGUUUAGUGAAAGGAGCGGACUGGGGAUUAGCUUAGAAGCUACAGUGGGACAUCAUUUUAUUCGGUCUGUUUUGCCUGAAGGGCCUGUUGGACGAUGUGGCAGAUUGUACAGUGGAGAUGAAUUAUUAGAAGUAAAUGGACAAUCUUUGCUUGGAGAGAAUCAUAAGGAUGUUGUAAAUAUUCUAAAAGACCUUCCUAUCAAUGUAAGAAUGGUGUGUUGUCGUGCAGUUCCACCUGUUACUGAGACAGCAUUGGAUGAGACUCAUAUGUCAGAGCAGUCGCAUAUAGACCUUGGUGGACUCCUUGGUGCUUCAGAGACAGAAGAUGCUAAGCUGGAAAUAGCUAACAUAAAUCAGAAUACUGAAGAGGUACAAGGUUCUUCUCUGGCAAUGUGGGAAACAGAAAUACAACAAAUUGAGCUGGAGAAAGGCAGCAGAGGUCUUGGCUUUAGUAUAUUGGAUUAUCAGGUAAUUUCUGAAUUCCCUAAUAUAAGGAUGUAGUUUGUACACUGAAUCCAGUAUCCCUGAAUUCAUC
Molecule: long non-coding RNA, 672 nt
Filed under: Laticauda laticaudata (blue-ringed sea krait)
Lineage: Eukaryota; Metazoa; Chordata; Lepidosauria; Squamata; Elapidae
Description: lncRNA (ENSLLTG00000000235.1)
Source: RNAcentral